This 5034-nucleotide long non-coding RNA is filed under the name Sus scrofa (pig). RNAcentral describes it as "lncRNA (ENSSSCG00005042666.1)". Lineage: Eukaryota; Metazoa; Chordata; Mammalia; Artiodactyla; Suidae. The record is from RNAcentral.
GGGGAGGGUUAAAGAAUGGUGAUUGCGACACUGAAUCGUACAAUGUGUGUUUUUAAAAAUAAUGUUAACAGAUUCUAAUAAAUGGCUCUUGGUUUUGGCAAAACACUUUUUUUUUCUGCUUUUAUCUGUGAGCAAUUCAAAGAUAAAUACAAAUUAUUCAUCACCUUCAAAGAUUAAGGGCUAAUAUAAUGUCUUUAUAAAUAUAUAUGUGUAAAAUAAUAGUUUUUGAUAAAUCUUUUAUCGGUAUUCUAAGGGUUAGGAUAUAUCAUAGAACAAUAAUUUAUGACAUCAUGUAUUUGAAGAAAACAUCUGAAUGUAUUCUGAUUUCUUUAGAGGAAGAAAGUUCUAAUUUUCAUAUUCAGAACAGAAGCCACACCCUUUUUACUCUAUGCACAGCUGAUAAUAUAGAGAUAAUAUAGAGAGAACAAAUUUUAAAAUCGUUAUUUCUGGUCAUCAGUAAGUAUAUAUUAUGAUGUCGGAAGUAUUCAUUGGCAUAUUUUCAAAACAUUGAAAAUUCAGUGGCGCCAACAUUUGCUGUUAUUAUUAACAAGCCACCCUUCACGUGUGUUCAUUUGUUCCCAGGCUAGGGGUCGAAUCAGAGCUAUAGCUGCCAGCCUAGCCACAGCCACAGCAAUGGCAGAUCCAAGCCACGUCUGCAACCUACACCACAGCUCACAGUAAUGCUGGAUCUUUAACCUACUGAUCAAGGCCAGGGAUCGAACCUGUGUCCUUUUGGAUGCUAGUCAGAUUUGUUUCCGCUGAGACCCAACGGGAACUCCAAAAGCACCCUUUAAGGUUACCUCAAUUGUUCUUUUCUGCCAGCAGUUGGAAAAAAUAACACCCUUGAGCAUAAAACUUUACCUAAAAUGUGGUGAAAUUUUCCUUGAAACAUGGAGUGAACCAUAAAAAUCGAGGAAGAUGGUUGUGAAAAUGCGGAUUUGUAAUAUUUAUUGGCCAUGUUAGUGGGAGCCAAAUGAUGAAAGUCUAUUCUCUGAUUCUUUGAGGGAAAAAAGCUAGAACUAUUUUCUUGGUGAUAAUAUCCUUCCUAAAUUCUGGAGCAUUCUCACUCUGCUUUUAUGUCAUUUUUUCUUUUCACACACUUGAUUAUGAACUGAAAUCAAUAAUAACUUUGGUAGGAGUAAUAAUUCACAGGAGAUUUUUGAAACCCAACUUGGUUUAUGCAUUUUUGCCAUAUUUAUGGCUCCUUGAAAAAGCUCACACAGUCUAAGAGAAUGUUUUUAUUACACUUCUAAUAUUGAAAUAUUCAACAUGAUAAAAAGGUAGGUACACAUUUGAAAUCAACUGUUUAAUAAAGUGCUUUACUGCUAUUUGUCUUUGGUGACAAAGGUCUGUUUUCUAUUUGGUUUAUGAUUUCUGGAAAACAAUAGUCAAGACUCAUAAAAAUUAUCUGGUUCUUUCUGGGAUCUGUAGCAGCAGAGGCAGCUGUGUUAGGCUUGACUGCAGAGCUGUCAGGAUCCAAAGCUUGGCAAAAUGGCCCAAGAGGAAUUUAGGGAGUGCUGAACCCCGGGGUCCCUUCCCUUUAUAGGAACUACCCGCAUUUAGCAAAAAGAGUAGGUGCAGGCAGCCCCUGUUAGGCAACUGAGGCAGCAUUCGUGCUGAGUGUUUCCUAGGCAUUUUGGUGCCCUUUCCUCUUUUCGAAAGUGCCUUUGCCCUGUGAGAAUUCAUAACUAGUCUACAUUUAUAUAGCUGUAGUCUUUGACAAUAGCUUCAUUGAUACUUGAUCUCCAUAGAAAAGCUUUAUGGAUUCUAAUGAGUCACAGCUCUUGAGGCACCAGCCGCCUUCCCUAUCAGUGAGUGGCUUUGUGUCCUGUGUUGUACUGAUUGUGCCUUUGGAUGACAACUUACUUGAGUGAUGGGGGGAGGCAGCGUAAUUUAUUAAAAAUAAUUACAAAGAAACCAAACAAAAGGGGUAAUUACAGUGCCGUUAAUAUGCAAUUCCUUAUUUUAUUGCUGAAAUAUUUGAAAUUCAGUCUUUUAUGUGGGGCUCCCUUUUUUAAUACAUUUUCUGUUCCCAGGUCUCAGGUUAGAUCUGGUUUCAUCAGAUCUUGGCUUUUCUUUGCUUGCUUGCUUGCUUUUUUUUUUUUUUUCUCUUAGCCGGACCAAGGAAGAAUUGCUGAUAAAGUGGUUUUUUGGUAGCCUCAGGAAAGAAGUCUGAUGUGUAUGAUUUUACACUAUUAAAUUUUCAUCUGUUUUGUAGAUGUAUUUUUUUUUUAAGCCUGCAGUUUAAACAAAAAAAUGAGAAUUCUGAGUAUACUGAAAUUCCCAUUUUCAAUUGGCAUAAUGGGGAAAAUUUAAAGUACAGUCACCCACUUACCCUCACGUACUUUGUUCACAUAUUUUAAAAAGAAUCUGAAUGGAACUAUUAAUAUAAUUAUAGCUGACACUUGUCAUGUGUCAAGCUCUGUUCUAAGUGCUUUACAUGUAUCAGCUCAGGUAAAUGUACCAUUAAGGUAGUGUCACAAAAUAGCAAUAUGAUAUGAGGGUGUUGCAGACUGUGUCGAACGCUUCUUUGUGACAGUAGGCGAGUUAGAAGCACAUCGAAUAAUUGCUGCAGAAAAGAAUGCUUUGGGCAAGAUUUAAAAAUUCUUUUUAACCCAGGCUAUCGACAGUCCUAGACCACCAACAUAAAGCGUACAUUUCUAAAUGAGGAAAAUCCCCUCCAGCAUAUAUUUUGAAAACACUUGAAAGUGUGCAGAUAAUUACACUAUUGUUGAUUUUAGCAGAUUUGAUGCCAGCAGCCAUCAACUCUUACGUGCCGUGAGAGAGGAAAGCCAUUUUAAUAUAAAACAUAAGAGUUUGGCUGGAAAAGGAGGGCGGGCGGAGAAAAAUUUCGUGACUUUGAGUUACUUUUAUAGGAAGCAUUGGUUGCAUUCCUGUUACAGAAUGCUUUACUUGGCAGUCAUUCUCAUCUCAGGCAUUUUAAUGAGCUGCUGUUUGGUGCCUGGUAUCAUAUGGCACUAAUAAGAUGCAUUAUUUUAGUAGCACCUACUGGUGUCAGUGAGUUUAGGGCCUAUCGCUGUUUCCAUUAAUCUUCUUUUAGGGGGCCGGCACUAGCAUGUAUCUUUAAGUCUGGCCAACAUGUUUUCAUUCAUAUUUCUGGGUCUCUGCACAAAAGAAAAAUGACACUCAAGUCUGGCAUCUCCAGCACUUAAAAAAGCACCCGAUCACCUGCAGCCGUAAUAGAUAAUUGUUGAAUGAAUCCCACAAGUGGCCCCUUUCCGUAAAGUCAUACCUGGCUAUUGCAUUAAAAAAAGUCAUGUCUAGGUUUUUAUUUUGUUCUUCAAUGACAGAGAUUUUCAUUAAAGCACAUUUGGUAGAGCUUUCCCGGCUUCGUGGUGGGUCAUCUUUUUCAUCUCUUCUGUAAAGAGAGCUCAGAGCCAGGAAGACUGACACUUGCUCCAACUCUGCCACCUAAUUAUGUGCUGCUUGCGUUUGUUGCUUGACUUUUGCUUUCAUCUGAAACUCUUUAUUUAAUAGACCAGUUAAACUCAUUUAUAUUAAUUAUAAAAUUAAUAUUUACAGUUUUAUGAUACAUUUUUUCUUUCGUGCAUUUUUUUGUAUUUAGGAAGGCUUGUGUUUUUUGGUCUAAUGGUUACUUUGAUAUAAUAGCAUAUUUUGGCUGCUUGUCCACUUUUUUUUUUUUUUGCUCUUGUGUAUUGACUUCCUGCUGUAAGAGCAAAAUUAGAUAUUAACCUUUUCUUGCCCCUCCCCUCUUUAUCUUCCAUCCUGUGCCUUGAAGUGUUAUCUUUCAACGCCUAGAUAAAUACCUGUUAAUACAAUCAACACGUGAAUGGUAUUUUUCAUAGACUCUUCCCAUCCUCCCUCCCCUUUUUGGUGGUUGUACUGUAUCCACAAUGUCAGAGCAUAUAGCUGUUACGUAUUAUACUGUGUCCUUUAUAAAAUCACUGAGCUUUAAUUCUGUAAGUAAAUCUAUCUUUAAUGCUCACCAUCCACCCUUAUAUUGGUCUUCAGUCAUUUUGGUCUUUUGAAGCUAGUUCUGUAGUGGAUUUCUCAGGAAGAGCUUGGGGCAACAAUAUUUCCCGAGUUCGUGUAUGUUCAGAAGUUUGUGCUUUUUAUACGCCAAGAUCAGUUCAACUAGACAUAAAAUCCUUGGCUCAUGUUUUCUUUAUUUAACUCUCUUAAACAUGUUACUCCAUUUCAUUGUCUUGCAUAAAGUCUGAUGCUGGUCUAAUUUCUCCGCCUUAGAGUAACCUUAGAGUAACCAUCUCUCCUAGAUGCCCAGAUUUUCUUCUUGAAAUUCCAAACUUUUUUUUUUUAGUAAAUUUAAUUGUUGGGUCCAUUUUCCCAGUUGGCACUUGCUUUUGUGGUUUAUUUUCUUCAUUUGUAAAAUGACAAUAAUGAUUGCUUUUUUUACCUACUCAGAGAAUAUAUUUGAAGACCAAAUGAGACACUAUAUAUAGAGUGCUUUCAAUUUAUUUUACUUUCUUUGUACUCUUUAAAGUCCCUUGUUGUCAGGAACUUUAAAAUUUAGAGUACUUCAGGAGUUCCCAUUGUGGCGCAGCGGAAAUGAAUCUGAUGAGGAACCGUGAGGUUUCGUGUUCGAUUCCUGGCCUUGCUCGGUGGGUUGGGGAUCUGGGGUUGCCGUGAGCUGUGGUGUAGGCCGGCGACUAUAGCUCUGAUUCGACCCCUAGCCUGGGAACCUCCCAAUGCUUCGAGUGUAGCCGUAAAAAACAAACAAACAAAUUUAGAGUACUUCAUUUUAUAGGCAAUUGGACUUGAGUUGGCUUUUAUUUAUGAAACGUCUAAAGCAGAUACUAAUGAAAUCUUUUGUCUAUAUUCUGGGAGCAAAUAAACUCACCCAGACCCACUCGGGGAGAACUGCUGGCCUAAAAGCUCUGGUGAUUUUUGCAAGUAUCUCAUUUAGAAAACGCCAUCUCCAUUGUACUCUUCUCACCCUCUUGCCUGUCAUAUGUUAGUUUCCCACACAAAACUUUGGGUUUAUGUGAUUUCAGUUUAUAUGUGCCUAAAACAAUACACAGGAGAAAAAAAAAA